This 4006-nucleotide long non-coding RNA is filed under the name Ananas comosus (pineapple). RNAcentral describes it as "long non-coding RNA (ACOM_LNC003959)". Lineage: Eukaryota; Viridiplantae; Streptophyta; Magnoliopsida; Poales; Bromeliaceae. The record is from RNAcentral.
UUUUUAUCUUAUUUUUUAGGCUAGAAAACUUUUUCGUCAAAAUCCAUUUUUUCAUUUUUCUCCUUUAUUAUUUAAAAACCUACACUUUACCGCUUUGUAAAAUAAAAAAUAUGCACUCACCUCCUACCGUUAGUAAUCUGUUAGAGUUCCGUUAUAAAAUAUUUUUUUAUGCCAAAAAUACCCCUCCACCCUUUUCCCUGUUGCUUCGCCUUCCUCCGCCUCGCCGCCGCCUCGCCCACAUCUCCGUCCACGCCCAGAAACACUCCUUUGCCCUCCUCUGCCGACUCGCCUUCUCCCUCGUUGCCCUUACCUACCUCUCCAUCCACGCCCACCUCUAUUUCCUCCAUACUGUCGCCGAAAUCGAGGGGCGGCGAGGGCGCAGGAGGAGAAGGGCAGCAGGUGGAGAAGAAAAUUGAGAGAAACUGUGGCCGAUCGAGGCGUGAAUCGCGGCCGAUCGAGGCGGCGGUUCAGGGAGAUGAAGGAGGAGAUGAAAAUGGUGAGAGGCAAAAUGGUCAUUUUAUCAUCACAGUACACGCCGUACCCUCCUUGUGAAUAUUUUUUAUUUUAUAAGGGAGCAAAGUGUAAGUUUUUAAAUGAUAGGGGGUAAAAUAAAAAAUCGGGUUUUAAUAGGAGGGUUUUAUAUAAUUUAACCAUAGUUUUUAUGAAAUGCGGCGUAAUUGAGAACCUAAUUCAUGCAAUAAACAUUUGUGGAUUAAUUUGUGAUUAAGCAACUUCUCAUUGUUGGCUUUUUCAGUGGCAUUGUUGUCCUUAUAUUAGAGAUUAAAGUAAAUGUUUCUCCCUACACUAACUUUAACUGGAGCAUAUAGGCUCCAGAGAUUAGGAGACAUGUUUUUAUCUUCAUAGAGAGAGAGAGAGAGAGAGAGAGAGAGAGAUAAGAAAAUUACAUGUUAAGAAGAAUCUUUGCAUGUCUAAUGGUUUGUAGAACAAUUGAUAGUGUAACUGUUCCCCAUACAUGAUCAAGUCACAAUGCAAAUAAUAGACUGUUCCUAGCGCAAGUGGCAAAAAAUUUUGUGGUUGAUAUCCGAGGUCCCAAGUUCGAAUCUUAGUUGAUUUACAGUUCUAGCUAAGUUUAUUUCUAAAUGAAAUAAACGAAGCGGGUAGCAUGCUAUCCAUCUCUCAAAAAAAAAAAAAAAUCACAAUGCAAAUAUAUAAGAGUAAAAUGCAUGGCUAGUCCCUCUAUUAUCCCACUAUUGGAACAUAUUUUAAGUUGGUUUUAAUACUUUUUGUUGGCUUAAAGGCCAGCAUUCUACUUUAUGAGGGGAGGUCAGGUUGGACCGAAUCACGUUCAAAAUGAUAGAAGAUCAGAUUGGGCUGAGUCAUAUUCAAAGUAGCGUCAGACUAGUUGGACUGAUCAAGUCACAAUCGAGACUUGUGAUGUUGUGUCUGUACGCUGUAAGCUAGAAAAUUGAUUGUAUAUUUCUAACAAUUUGAGUUUUUAGAUUCGAUACUUUUCAGUUAAAUAUCUCGCACUAUCUAAACUUUCACAUUAUUACACUUUGAGCUCUAAUCGUCAAAAAUGUUUACUUUUUUCAAUAUAUUUUAUCCGGUACUUUACAUUGUAUGAACUACUCUAGUUUAAUCCGAACAUGAUAUGGUAAGGCUGUUUUAUAGUAAAAUAAAAAAAACUCGAGGACUAAAAGUGUACGCAAUGAAAAGUAAUGGGACCACUUUGUAAUACUGGAAUAGUUCAUUAUUUACUCAUACUUGUUGUUGUGGGAAACAGCUAAAAUUCCUUUUGAGUUGAUUGAGAGACAAAUUAUGACUAGUCAUUAUCCUAACAAUUACUAUUAAACUCAUUUCUAAUUUUAUAUAUAUAUAUAUAUAUAUAUAUAUAUAUAUAUCUUAAAAUAGAGUAUAAACUUUCAAUAUCAUUUAUGCGGUUUCGUAUUUUCUCACUUUAGUGUCUUAUGAUUUAAACGUGUAUCAAUUUAGUACCUUAUGAUUUUAUUUUUUUCUUUUCAUCAGCUUCUGCGUUAACAUUUUGUUAAAUUAUGCACAAAAAAUUUCAAAUACUCCACUUAAAUUUAUUAGGUAUUCACUUUAGUACCUUUUAGUUUUAAUUUUGUCACUCAUUAAAUGAAAAAAAUUAAUGAAGGGUAUAAUAAAAAGAGAAAAAUAAAAUCAUGGGAUACUAAAUUAAUACGCUUUAAAUCACAAGAUACUAAAAUAAAAAAAAAAGUAUAAAACCAUAUUGAUGGUAUUUGAAAUUUUUCCUAAAUAAAGUUAUAGUAAAGAGUAACUGCAGUAUAAAUAAACAAAUAAUAAUUGUAUAAAUAUUUAAGUCUAAGAUAUAUAGCUACAACCUUAGUUAGUUAAUUCGCGUUUAAUUCGCGAAUUAUUCGCGACUUUUUCGAAACCCGAAUUAAACGCCGGCAUCCGAAUUUUUCCAAAACAUGCGUAAACAAACGCAUUUUUUUCAGCAAAAAUAAUCAUCCGCGAAUCAUUCGCGAUUCGCGAAUGAUUCGCCCAAAGAAACGGCGGUCGCGGACUCGCUGCCGCGUCGUCGCCGCCAUCGUCGGCGUCCUCCUCCUCCAUCGCUUUCGUCGCGGAACUUUGGAUCACUGUAAAAUUUCUCGAAAAAAAAAAUUUCCGCUAAAAUUUUUUUUUCCAAACAAUAGUUGUCCCUCAAAUUUUUUUUGAAAAAAUUAUUUUAUAAAUUUUGGAAAAAAAAUCGAAUUUGUGACUUGAGAGUUGAGACUUGAGAGCAAGAGGUAGAAAUGGCGCUGGGUUUGGGAAGAAGAAGNUAAUUAUUAAUUAAUUAUUAAUAAAUAAUAAUAUUAAUUAUUAAUUAUUAAUUAUAAAUAAUAUAUUAAUAAUAAUAUCGAUUAUCAUUAAGAAUAAUAAUUAUUAAUAAUUAUUAAUAAAAAAUUAAUAAAUAUUAUUAAUUAUUAAUAAUUAAUUAUAAAUAAUAAAUUAAUAAUAAUUAUUAUCUAAUUAUUAAUAAGUAAUUAUAAAUAAUAAAUUAUUUAAUUAUUUAAUUAUUAAACCAAUAAAUAAUAAUGUAAAUAUAUUAAUUAGAUUAAUUAAUAAUUUACUGCUAUUAAAAUUAAAUUUAGAUUUUAAUUAAUCUUGUUCUCAUCAAGGAACAAGCUUGUUCCAGGAAACGGGUGGAACAGCAGUUCCAGCCUUAUUCCAGCUAGUUCCAGAUUUCCGGAAACUACUGUUCCCGGGAGCCAAACAUAGCGUUUGGGAACAAAGGGGGGAACAAGGGCUUAUUCCCCCCCUUGUUCCCCAACCAAACGCUACCUCAAAGUUUUUUUUCUGGUAUAUAAGAAGUACAUGUCAGAAGAGCCUAGCCAGUUAAUUUUUAUCUUAUUUUUUAGGCUAAAUUACAGAAAACUUUUCCGUCAAAAUCCGAUUUUUUCAUUUUUCUCCCCUGUCAUUUAAAAACCUACACUUUACCGCUUUGUAAAAUAAAAAAUGUGCACUCACCUCCAACCGUUAGUAAUCUAUUAGGGUUCCGUUAUAAAAUAUUUUUUUAUGCCAAAAAUACCCCUCCACCCUCUUCCCUGUUCCUUCGCCUUCCUCCGCCUCGCCGCCACCUCGCCCACAUCUCCGUCCACGCCCAGAAACACUCCUUCGCCCUCCUCCGCCGACUCGCCUUCUCCCUCGUUGCCCUUACCUACCUCUCCAUCCACGCCCACCUCUAUUUCCUCCAUACUGUCACCGAAAUCGAGGGGCGGCGAGGGUGCAGGAGAAGAAGGGGAGCAAGUGGAGAAGAAAAUUGAAAGAAACCGUGGCCGAUCGAGGCUUGAACCGCGGCCGAUCGAGGCGGCGGUUCAGAAAGAUGAAGAAGGAGACGAAAAUGGUGAGAGGCAAAAUGGUCAUUUUAUCAUCACAGUACACGUCGUACCCUCCUUGUGAGUAUUUUUUAUUUUAUAGGGGAGCAAAGUGUAAGUUUUUAAAUGAUAGGGGGGUAAAAUAAAAAAUCGGGUUUUGAUAGGAGUGUUUUAUAUAAUUUAACCAUAGUUUUUAUGAAAUGCAG